AGCGAACGCUGGCGGCAUGCCUAACACAUGCAAGUCGCACGGGGGGGCUUCGGCCUCCCAGUGGCGGACGGGUGAGGAACGCGUAGGGACCUGUCGAGGGGUGGGGGAUAACCGCGAGAAACUGCGGCUAAUACCGCAUGACGCCGCGGCGUGACAGCCGGGGCCAAAGGCGAAAGCCGCCCGCCGAGGGGCCUGCGUCCGAUUAGCUGGUUGGCGGGGUAGCGGCCCACCAAGGCGUCGAUCGGUAGCUGGUCUGAGAGGGUGAUCAGCCACACCGGGACUGAGACACGGCCCGGACUCCUACGGGAGGCAGCAGUGGGGAAUAUUGGACAAUGGGCGCAAGCCUGAUCCAGCAAUGCCGCGUGGGUGAAGAAGGUCUUCGGAUUGUAAAGCCCUUUCGGCGGGGACGAUGGUGACGGUACCCGCAGAAGAAGCCCCGGCUAACUUCGUG
Molecule: ribosomal RNA, 451 nt
Filed under: uncultured bacterium
Lineage: Bacteria
Description: partial 16S ribosomal RNA
Rfam family: Bacterial small subunit ribosomal RNA
Source: RNAcentral